UACAGAGGUCUCAAGCGUUGUCCGGAAUCAUUGGGCGUAAAGAGCGUGUAGGCGGCUUGUUAAGUCUUGCGUGAAAUCUCGGGGCUCAACCCCGAGCGGUCGUGAGAAACUGGCAGGCUAGAGUGCGGGAGAGGAGAGUGGAAUUCCUGGUGUAGCGGUGAAAUGCGCAGAUAUCAGGAAGAACACCCGUGGCGAAGGCGGCUCUCUGGAACGCAACUGACGCUGAGACGCGAAAGCGUGGGGAGCAAACAGG
This 253-nucleotide ribosomal RNA is filed under the name uncultured bacterium. Its description in RNAcentral is "partial 16S ribosomal RNA". It matches the Rfam family "Bacterial small subunit ribosomal RNA", at positions 524 to 776 of the family's 1533-position model. The record is from RNAcentral.